RNAcentral lists this long non-coding RNA (992 nucleotides) under Citrus x clementina. RNAcentral's name for it is "Citrus clementina (C. clementina) long non-coding RNA (CCLE_LNC005959)". The record is from RNAcentral. Lineage: Eukaryota; Viridiplantae; Streptophyta; Magnoliopsida; Sapindales; Rutaceae.
CCGAAGGCGGGGGCGCCCAGUUGGUCCAGCGGAAAAAGGCCACAAAAACGGGUGGGCUAUAGCCUUGGGGGGUGGGGCUGGCCCACUUCGUGCGCCGGACUCGGAAUGCCGCGGGACUUUGCGAGGGGCCUCCGUGUGCCAAAAAUAGGCCGCGGCCAAAGCCACGCCCAAAAAUAACCACCCGAAGGCCGGGGCGCCAAGUUCGUCCAGCGGAACAAGGCCACAAAGACGGGUGGGCUAUAGCCUUGGGGGGUGGGGCUGGCCCACUUCGUCCGCCAGACUCGGAAUUCCGCGAGACUUUGCGAGGGGCCUCCGUGUGCCAAAAAUAGGCCGCGGGCACAGCCGCGUCCAAAAAUAACCUCCCGAAGGCCGGGGCGCCAAGUUCGUCCAACGGAAAAAGCCCACAAAAACGGGUGGGCUAUAGCCUUGGGGUGUGGGGCUGGCCAACUACGUCCGCCGGACUCGGAAUGGCGCGAGACUUUGCGAGGCACCUCCGUGUGCCAAAAAUAGGCUGCGGGCACAGUCGCGACCAAAAAUAACCUCCCGAAGGCCGGGGCGCCAAGUUCGUCCAGCGGAAAAAGCCCACAAAAACGGGUGGGCUAUAGCCUUGGGGGGUGGGGCUGGCCAAUUUCGUCCGCCUGACUCGGAAUUGCGCGAGACCUUGCGAGGCACCUCCGUGUGCCAAAAAUAGGCCGCGGGCACAGCCGCGUCCAAAAAUAACCACCCGAAGGCCGGGGCGCCAAGUUCGUCCAGCAGAAAAAGGCCACAAAAACGGGUGGGCUAUAGGCAUGGGGGGUGGGGAUGGCCAACUUCGUCCGCCGGACUCGGAAUUACGCGAGACUUUGCGAGGCGCCUCCGUGUGCCAAAAAUAAGCCACGGGCAAAUCGGCGGCCAAAAAUAACUGCCCGAAGGCCAAGGGGCCAAGUUCGUCCAGCGGAAAAAGGCCACAAAAACGGGUGGGCUAUAGCCUUGGGGGGUGGGGCUGGCCAACU